AAAUUGAAGAGUUUGAUCAUGGCUCAGAUUGAACGCUGGCGGCAGGCCUAACACAUGCAAGUCGAACGGUAACAGGAAGAAGCUUGCUUCUUUGCUGACGAGUGGCGGACGGGUGAGUAAUGUCUGGGAAACUGCCUGAUGGAGGGGGAUAACUACUGGAAACGGUAGCUAAUACCGCAUAACGUCGCAAGACCAAAGAGGGGGACCUUCGGGCCUCUUGCCAUCGGAUGUGCCCAGAUGGGAUUAGCUUGUUGGUGGGGUAACGGCUCACCAAGGCGACGAUCCC
RNAcentral lists this ribosomal RNA (286 nucleotides) under Escherichia coli. Its description in RNAcentral is "partial 16S ribosomal RNA". It matches the Rfam family "Bacterial small subunit ribosomal RNA", at positions 1 to 283 of the family's 1533-position model. The record is from RNAcentral. Lineage: Bacteria; Pseudomonadati; Pseudomonadota; Gammaproteobacteria; Enterobacterales; Enterobacteriaceae.